RNAcentral lists this ribosomal RNA (481 nucleotides) under uncultured bacterium. Its description in RNAcentral is "partial 16S ribosomal RNA". It matches the Rfam family "Bacterial small subunit ribosomal RNA", at positions 28 to 507 of the family's 1533-position model. The record is from RNAcentral.
GAUGAACGCUGGCGGCGUGCUUAACACAUGCAAGUCGAACGAAGAAUUUAAGACAGAUUACUUCGGUUUGAAGUCUUUUAUGACUGAGUGGCGGACGGGAGAGUAACGCGUGGGUAACCUGCCUUCUACAGGGGGAUAGCAGCUGGAAACGGCUGGUCCUACCGCAUAAGCGCACAGUACCACAUGGUACAGUGGGAAAAGCUCCGGUGGUAUGGGAUGGACCCGCUUCUGUUUGGCUUGUUGGCGGGGUAACGGCACACCAAGGCGACGAUCAGUAGCCGACAGGGGAGGGUGACCGGCCACAUUGGGACUGAGACACGGCCCAGACUCCGACGGAGGGCAGCAGUGGGGAAUAUUGCACGAGGGAGGAAACUCUAAUGCAGCGGCGCCGCGGGAGUGAAGAAGUAGGUCGCAAUGUAAAGCUCUAUCAGCAGAGGAGAUAGUGACGGUACCGGGCUAAGAAGCACCGGCUAAAUACGUG